This 74-nucleotide transfer RNA is filed under the name Triticum aestivum (bread wheat). It matches the Rfam family "tRNA". From Rfam's summary of the family: Transfer RNA (tRNA) molecules are approximately 80 nucleotides in length. Their secondary structure includes four short double-helical elements and three loops (D, anti-codon, and T loops). Further hydrogen bonds mediate the characteristic L-shaped molecular structure. tRNAs have two regions of fundamental functional importance: the anti-codon, which is responsible for specific mRNA codon recognition, and the 3' end, to which the tRNAs corresponding amino acid is attached (by aminoacyl-tRNA synthetases). tRNAs cope with the degeneracy of the genetic code in two manners: having more than one tRNA (with a specific anti-codon) for a particular amino acid; and 'wobble' base-pairing, i.e. permitting non-standard base-pairing at the 3rd anti-codon position. RNAcentral also lists the same sequence under 1 other name. The record is from Rfam by way of RNAcentral. Lineage: Eukaryota; Viridiplantae; Streptophyta; Magnoliopsida; Poales; Poaceae.
GCGCUCUUAGUUCAGUUCGGUAGAACGUGUGUCUCCAAAACCCAAUGUCGUAGGUUCAAAUCCUACAGUGUGUG